RNAcentral lists this unclassified non-coding RNA (519 nucleotides) under uncultured Glomus. RNAcentral's name for it is "SSU rRNA". It matches the Rfam family "Eukaryotic small subunit ribosomal RNA", at positions 569 to 1088 of the family's 1831-position model. Lineage: Eukaryota; Fungi; Glomeromycota; Glomeromycetes; Glomerales; Glomeraceae. The record is from RNAcentral.
AGCAGCCGCGGUAAUUCCAGCUCCAAUAGCGUAUAUUAAAGUUGUUGCAGUUAAAAAGCUCGUAGUUGAAUUUCGGAAUCAAUGGAUCGGUCAUGCCACUCGGUGUGUACUGGUUUGAUUGGUUCUCACCUUCUAAGGAACCGUGAUGUCAUUAAUUUGGUGUCGCGGGGAAUUAGGACUGUUACUUUGAAAAAUUAGAGUGUUUAAAGCAAGCUCACGCUUGAAUACAUUAGCAUGGAAUAAUGAAAUAGGACAUUGUAUUCUAUUUUGUUGGUUUCUAGGAUCGAUGUAAUGAUUAAUAGGGAUAGUUGGGGGCAUUAGUAUUCAAUUGUCAGAGGUGAAAUUCUUGGAUUUAUUGAAGACUAACUACUGCGAAAGCAUUUGCCAAGGAUGUUUUCAUUAAUCAAGAACGAAAGUUAGGGGAUCGAAGACGGUCAGAUACCGUCGUAGUCUUAACCAUAAACUAUGCCGACUAGGGAUCGGAUGAUGUUAAUUUUUAAUGACUCAUUCGGCUAACCG